UUCAGUAUCGCAAUCUCUUGGAUCACCUUCGACCGACAGAUGUAUGGAUAAUAACCUAAUUAUUUCGUAAUAAUUUGUUAAUUACUUCUACCAAAUUUAUAAUCUAACAUACAUUCACAUUUCAGUUCAUUUGGCAUCCAUACCUAAAUUUGGAUAAUGACCAUGAAAUCAACGAAGAAGACGCAGCCGUAUGGAUUGCUUGCACACCGAUCAUAAGAUUCACCACUGUGGAGAUGCACAACAAUGAUCGUGUGAAAUUGUAGUUCGGUAUGCUUCAACACAUCCCAGAUCCCCCAACAAACCUAGGAGAAUGACAUCUACGCAAAGUUAACGACCAAUGGAACUUUAACCCAUGGCAAAGCUUCGCUAGAUCUGAGUGUCAUAUGCUUCAACACAUCCCAGAUCCCCCAACAAACCUAGGAGAAUGACAUCUACGCAAAGUUAACGACCAAUGGAACUUUAACCCAUGGCAAAGCUUCGCUAGAUCUGAGUGUCGCAAAUGGAAGCACUGCCAUGACCAUGUCUUAACUGACGUUGUGAUGCCAACUGAAGAAAAACCAAGUCGUACUUAUAUGGCUUGGUACAAAUUAGUUGGUUUUGAGUUCAUCGCCGAGGAUAUGUACCUAUACGACCCACGCCGGGCAACUUACACACCAGACGCCUCAACAUCUAAUCCCUAACAACAUUGUCAGAUCGGCUACACACAACCCCCUAUCCGUCAAACUUUCCGUUCCACAAACACACAAAUAUACAACCCUAACAUGUCAUACACCCAACCACAAUACCAAGAUCAUACCACAUACCACCACCACCAACUAGAUCAUCAACCAGAGACCCAACAUCGCUUCACACCCAACACAUCACCCUACAAAAACCGCCUUAGCCAAAACACUCAACGACCAUUUAACACCAACCGUCCCUCCUCCUACCAAAACCAAGAAGCCCAAAUAUCUCAAAACCAAAACCUUCAACAACCAUAUCUUUACCAAACACCACAAUAAUCUUUCCAACCUUUCAUCGACGCAUCAUUCACACCAAUGUCUCCCUUCAAUCGUUCUGGUCGUCCACCAACAACUCAAACACAACUCAACUACUCUGACAUGGGUCAUAAACUCAGCUAUGGAGAUACACCUUCGAUGCAUACACAAGACUACGUUGAUUUGUCUGACUAUCUCAAUAGGCAAUCUCCUGCAGUUGAUAGUGAUGUUUCUGGGCCCUCAGAUGCUCAAACACCUGGGGUGAAUCAUCAACGUGGAUUUGGGUCAUGGGUUCGGAUAGCUAGGGGAUGUGGGACCGGUGGUCGGUUAGGUGAUCUCGGUCAUCAACAUUAGUCUUUUUUGUGUAAACGAGAUUUAAAAUUACAAAACACACAGAGGUGUCAAUCCAAUUGGCGUCUCCCUUUAACCUUUGCACAUGGGCGCCAAUUGGAUUGACAGCACCAUCUGCCAUAGCCAAUCCAAUUGGCCUCUCCUUUCUAAAUUUAAGAGGAGGCGCCAAUUGCAUUGACGUGUCCUCUUAAAAGUGAGGUAGAUUGUAAAUUUUUUUGAAAUUAGGAUUAUUUUGGAGAAAAAAAUCAAAAUCUGGAAUAUUUUAGUAAAAAAUUCUUAAUUUGUUCCUCAAAUAAAAGUAAUAGUUAAUUAAAGUAAAUUUGAUAUUGUGUAACCCGUGAAAUAAUAU
Molecule: long non-coding RNA, 1677 nt
Filed under: Lathyrus oleraceus (garden pea)
Lineage: Eukaryota; Viridiplantae; Streptophyta; Magnoliopsida; Fabales; Fabaceae
Description: Pisum sativum (pea) long non-coding RNA (PSAT_LNC011203)
Source: RNAcentral